This 728-nucleotide long non-coding RNA is filed under the name Cricetulus griseus (Chinese hamster). RNAcentral's name for it is "lncRNA (ENSCGRG00015042968.1)". The record is from RNAcentral. Lineage: Eukaryota; Metazoa; Chordata; Mammalia; Rodentia; Cricetidae.
CUAACAACUCAAAACUCUGUUGUAUUCCAAACUCGGGAUACAACUAAAUACAUAAAAGUAGGUUUAUGGAAUCGUUUAUAACAAUGAAGUAACUGUGUUUUAGUCAAAGUCCGGAUACAACGGAAUACACAAAACUAGGUUAAUGGAAUCGUUCAUAACGACGCACUAAUUCUCUUGUAGUUCAAAGUCCGGAUACAACGAAAUACACAAAAUUAGGUUAAUGGAAUCGUUCAUAACGACGCACUAAUUCUCUUGUAGUUCAAAGUCCGGAUACAACGAAAUACACAAAAUUAGGUUUAUGGAAACCUUCAAACAAACCAAUAACUAUGUUGUAGUUCCAAAGUCCGGUUACAACGAAAUACAGGAAACUAGGUUUAUGGAAUCAAAUAUAAAUAAGCACUAACAGAGUUUUAGUUCCAAAGUCCGUAUACUACGAAAUACACAAAACUAGGUUUAUGGAAUCGUUCAUAACGACCCACUAACUCUCUUGUAGUUUAAGAUCCGGAUAUAUCGAAAUACACAAAACUAGGUUUUUGGAAUCGUUUAUAACAACCCAAUAACACUGUUGUAGUUCCAAAGUCCAUAUACAACGAAAUACACAAAACCAGGUUUAUGGAAAAUUUCAAACAACUCAAUAACUCUGUUGUAGUUCCAACGUCAGGAUACAUCGAAAUACAAGGAACUAGGUUUAUGGAAUUUUACAUAAAUAAGAACUAAUUGUGUUUCAC